GAUGAACGCUGGCGGCGUGCCUAAUACAUGCAAGUCGAGCGAACAGAUGAGGAGCUUGCUCCUCUGACGUUAGCGGCGGACGGGUGAGUAACACGUGGAUAACCUACCUAUAAGACUGGGAUAACUUCGGGAAACCGGAGCUAAUACCGGAUAAUAUAUUGAACCGCAUGGUUCAAUAGUGAAAGACGGUUUUGCUGUCACUUAUAGAUGGAUCCGCGCCGCAUUAGCUAGUUGGUAGGGUAACGGCUUACCAAGGCGACGAUGCGUAGCCGACCUGAGAGGGUGAUCGGCCACACUGGAAGUGAGACACGGUCCAGACUCCUACGGGAGGCAGCAGUAGGGAAUCUUCCGCAAUGGGCGAAAGCCUGACGGAGCAACGCCGCGUGAGUGAUGAAGGUCUUCGGAUCGUAAAACUCUGUUAUUAGGGAAGAACAAAUGUGUAAGUAACUAUGCACGUCUUGACGGUACCUAAUCAGAAAGCCACGGCUAACUACGUG
This 497-nucleotide ribosomal RNA is filed under the name uncultured bacterium. Its description in RNAcentral is "partial 16S ribosomal RNA". It matches the Rfam family "Bacterial small subunit ribosomal RNA", at positions 28 to 507 of the family's 1533-position model. The record is from RNAcentral.